CUUCGCUAGGGAUUGAACUAAGGGGUGUUUAACACUGAGCCACAUCCCUAGCCCUCUUUACUUUUAUUUUUAUUUAUUUAUUUAUUUUGGUGUCAGGGAUUGAAUCCAGGGGCACUUAACCACUGAGUGACAUCCCUAGUCCUUUUUAAUUUUUUAAAAAUUUUUAUUAUUAUUGUUUAAUAUUUUUAGUUGAAGAAUGAAUACAAUGACUUAAAUUUUUUAUAUGGUGCUGAGGAUGGAACCUAGUGUCUCACACGUGCUAGGCAAGUGCUCUACCACUGAGCCACAAACAGUGACAGCCUCCUUUUUUAUUUUGAGUCAGGGUCUUGCUAAAUUGCUUAGGGCUUUGCUAAAUUGCUGAGGCUGGCUUUGAAUUUGCAAUACUCCUGCCUUAGCCUCCACAGUCACUGGGAUUAUAAGCCUGUACCACCAUGUCCAGCACCCUUUUUAUUUUGAGACAGGGUCUUACUGAGUUGCCCAGCUGAGCUCAAACUUGGUGAUUUUCCUGCCUCAGCCCCAAGUAGCUGGGAUUACAGGUACUACUACAACCAGCAGAAUAAAAUUCCUAAGAAUAAUUUAACAUGAAGCUAGGCAUGGCAUACUAUUGUGUUCAGAUGAAUUUUAGACACUUUGAAGGGAUUAGCUUUAUAGUAUGUGAAUAAAAGUGUUUUUGAACAAAACAAAACAUAAUCAGAGCUGUGCCCCUUACCAAGUAAGACUAGAUUUCAGUCACCACUGUGUACAGUGAAUGCCUUCAGGGUAGGGGGUGUAGCUCAGUGGUAGAACAUAGGCCUAGCAUGCAAGGUCCUGGGUUCAAUCCCCAGUACUGCAAAAAAAAAAAAAAAAAAAAAGUCUGCCUUCAGAACGUGUACCCUCUAAAGCCUCUUUUCACGCUUUUUCCACUGUAUGCUUGUGACCCUAUCACAUUGUCACUGCCACUGAUGUUACUGAUGUCUGAAAUACUUACAUUCAAGUUUAUUUUUAGAGCAAUUUAAGGCAACCAUUAAGAAAUGUGCUAUUAGGGGUUGGGGCUGGAGUUCAGCAGUAGCAUAGUUGCCUCGUGUGAGUAAGGCAUUGAGUUCGAUUCUCAGCACCUCAUGUAAAUAAGUAAAAUAAAGGUCUAUCAACAACUGAAAAAAAAUUAAAAAAAGAAAAAAGGAAAUGUGCUAUUGAACUGGGCGCUGUGGUACCUGUAAUCCCUGUGACUCUGGAGGCUGAGACAGUAGGAUUGAAAGUUCAAGGCCAGUCUCAGCAAUUUAGUGAGGCCCUAAGCAACUUAAUGAGAUCUUGUCUCAAAAUAAAAAGGAAUAGGGAUAUAGCUCAGUGUUAAAAGCCCCUCUGGGUUUAGUCCCAGUACCAGGGGGGGAAAAAAAAAAAAGAAAGAAAUUGCUAUUGAGCCGGGUCCAGUGGCCAUGCCUAUAGUGCCAGCUCCUUGGGAAGCUGAGGAGGAGGAUUGCAAGUUGAAGACCAGCCUCUGAAAUGUAACAAGACCCUGUCAAAAUAAAAUUUAAAGAAAAGGGCUAGGGAUGUUGCUCAGUAGGAGAGUGCUUGCCUAUCAUGUACACAAUUAUGAGGUCCUGGGCUCUGUCCCUGGCAUCAGGAGAAAACAAGAAAUACAGAAAAAUGCAGUCAGUGCCUGAGUUUAGACAUGUGACCAGGAUUGGUUUGGACCAUAAUCCCCAAAGGUACAAUCCCAGAUUGCCAUAACCUGAAAUGUUGAAGUUCAGGAAAGAUCAAAAUCCUUAAAGCCCAAAAUUCAGAAAAUAUAAUUGUGGAAAAAAUAAUUUUAAAAAAAUCAAAAGAGGAGCUGAGGUUGUGGCUCAUAGGUAGAGCACUUGCCCGAGGCACUGGGUUCGAUCCUCAGCACCACAUAAAAAAUAAAAUAAAGGUAUUGUGUCCUCGUGUCCUCCUACAACUAAAAAAUAAAUGUUUAAAAAAAAAUCAAAAGAGCUGGGCACCAUGGCGCAUGCUUAUAUUCUCAGUGACUCUAGAGGCUGAGUCAGGAGGAUCACAAGUUUAAAACUAGCCUUAGCAACUUAGGCCCUAAGCAACUCAUUGAGACCCUGUCUCAAAAUAAAAUAUAAAAAAGGGCUGGGGUUGUGGCUCAGGGGUUAAGCACACUUGGGAUAAAUUCCCAGUUACCCCCCCGCCUUAAAUCAAAAGACAUUUAUUUAUACUUUUAGGGGCUAGGGUUAUAGAACAUGGCUUAGCAUGCCCAUGUUGGAUGGGCAUGAUUGGAUCCUGAUUGGAUUCCUGCCCCCCCCCCCACCAAAAAAAGAGAGAGACAUUUAUUUGCUUUUAUUUUUUUUUUUUUUUUUAACUACACAUGACAUUACAAUGAUCUUGACAAUUCAUACAUUAGAAUCAAUUGGGGUAUAAUUUCUCAUUUUUCUGAUUGUACAGAUUGCAGAAUCACAUUGGACAUACAGUCACCUAUAUACAUACAGCAAUCAUAAUGUCUAUUCUAUUCUGCUGCUCUUUGUAUCACCCCUUCCUAUUUCCUACUGUUGUUUUGCAGUACCAAAUGGCCUGUAUCCACAGCCUCUUUCUUUCAUUUAUUCUUUUAUUUUAUUCUGCCACAGGAUCUUGAUAAGUUUCAUAUGCUGGUCUGGAAUUUUUUUCUACCUAUAUCAGCCUCAUGAUUUACAGUGGUGUGGUACUUCACCCAGUAUUUAAAAAUUUAAAAAGGGAUAUGUGAGCCAGGUGUGGUGGCAUAUGCUUGUAGUCCCAGCUACUUGUGAAGCUGAGAUAUGAGGAUCACGUGAGUCUACAAGUUUCAGACCAGCCUGGGCAACAUGAUUCCGUGUCUCAAAAGUAAACACAAACAGGGCUGGGGUUGUGGCUCAGUGGUAGAGUGCUCGCCUAGCAUGCAUGAGGCACUGGGCUCGAUCCUCAGCACCACAUAAAAAUAAAAAAUAAAGAUAUUGUGUCCACCUAAAACUAAAAAAAAA
Molecule: long non-coding RNA, 2951 nt
Filed under: Marmota monax (woodchuck)
Lineage: Eukaryota; Metazoa; Chordata; Mammalia; Rodentia; Sciuridae
Source: RNAcentral